This is a long non-coding RNA of Spinacia oleracea (spinach), 2747 nucleotides long. RefSeq lists it as uncharacterized. The transcript has 4 exons. Lineage: Eukaryota; Viridiplantae; Streptophyta; Magnoliopsida; Caryophyllales; Amaranthaceae. The record is from RefSeq and is a predicted model, not a curated record.
AUGAGUUCUUCUAACUAAUCACGCCUUAUCGACCAAUCUCCAUAUUCAUCCCCACAAAACUCCAAUUCUCUACCCUCGUCGGAAACCCACUUUUGUACAAGAAGAUUCCGGUAAUCGACCUUCUGCCUUCAAAGCGCAAUCUACAUCAAUCGCAGUGCAUCAUGGAGGCGUGCAGAAUGCAGGGCAGCAAGAGUUUUGGUUAAAUUUUUUCGAUAGUAGAGUUGACAUGAACAGCCCUGAAUAUAAUCUAGUAAACAUAAAUCAAUAUGAAACCAAUAACGUUUUCAGCCUUGACGAACAUCUGCCGAUGAAGCAUUUUAAGACGGCUUCAUCAUAACUACCAGAUAGAUCAGUUGUAGGAGAAAGAUAACCAGAAAAAGAACUUUGAGCCACUGGUAAAAGUACAAACCUGUUGAAGCUCUCAAAACUCAAAAAUGCGCUUGAAGGUUCAUCUGCCAUUACUAAAGAUGAUUGCUGAAAGUUGGCGAAUGGAUAGCGGUUCAUCGGGCGACAAUGGCAAUUAAAGACGUUGAUGGGAUGCUAGCUUCUUUGGAUUCCCGAGUAUUAUGAUAUUUUCAUCAAGUAUGUAACCUUCAUUUUUUUUUUUUUUUUUUUUUGGCUAAUAAAAGGAAAUUUUAUUACCAAAAGGCUAAAACACGGAAACCAAUAACAACCAAGAAGGAAAAUUUGGUAAUAUUAAUCCAACCUUUGGCCGAUUUUCUUUUAUUAAUCCCACCUACGACAUAUUUUUUAAUAAUCUCACCUUUACUACCCAAUAACUUUUAUUGGGCUCAAGUGAUCGAAAAUCGGUGAAAAAGUCAACGAGAUGGUGAUGAAUUGAUGAUAAUGACUGAAUAUAUCGAGAGAGGGUACUUCCACGUAGAGACAUAUUACCGUCUACAACAAGUUUAUUACCUGUUAGGCCCAAUAAAAGUCGUUGGGUAGUAAAGGUGGGAUUAUUAAAAAAUAUGUCGUAGGUGGACUUAAUAAAAGAAAAUCGGCCAAAGGUUGGAUUAAUAUUACCAAAUUUUCCCAACCAAGAAUUACAAAACUUGAAAAACAACCAAGAAGCACAAAGCAUCAGGGUGAAAUUGGGGUGAAUUUGGAAUUGUUGCUCAUAUGAUGCAGUUUUGUUGGCUAUAUACCAUAAUGUAGGUUCAGAAAGCAGACAAAAUGGGCUUAUAAGCACUAUAACUCUAGAACAUUUAGUCCUAGACUGAGGGAAAUUAUGCAUUCCUCAUUCCACAACCCCUUUUCCUACCUGGCAGUAUAUGUAACCGCCUUCAAUCAUGUAUAGAAGAACUCGAUGGCAAAUUUGGACAUUGUAUUAGGAUAUGCACUAGGUGGAUAGAAAUAGUGAAACAUAACUGUGUACUUAUUCUUGAUAGAGUCUAUUUAUUUUGAAUGUUCUCUUAGAAUUGCCAAAAUAUAUCUCGAACUUUGAAAGAUGGCUGGUAUAGUGUUUGAGUUAGGUAAAAUAGUUAUAGAUUUGAUCGGGUUGUUGUAACUUUCUUUGCAACGGGUUGGCAGUUCUAUACCCAUAUUACAGCAUAGAUGCGCCCAUGAUUGAAAAGAGAUUAUAUGGUUCAGUACUUUUGGAGGUGAUUCCAUUUACUGUUUGUGACAGAAGCAUGCUGCAAUAUUGAAUUGCACUCCUCUUUUCUGCAUGUUGGUAUUGUCUAACUUGAAACCAAAUGCCAAGUGGAUAACAGUAAAUCGAUCUGAAGCAUGAAUUGUCUGAUAUUGAAGAAAAAAAAGAAUAACAUCCUGUUGCCUGCAAUUAUUAAUGAUAAGGUUUGAAGGAGGACGGAAGAGGAGGUCUAAAUAUAUCAAAUGAUUGCAUGCUAGCAAAGGUAGUAACCUGGUUGUGGCCCUUGGGAGAUCGUUGAUAUUCCUCAAAGUUUAUUGGAACAUGGUAGGAAUAGUGCAUUUUCCAAUUAAUGUUUAUCAUGUUGGUUUAGUUUGAUGUGCAUACUGGUAAUUGGCUUCAGCUUUCUGGGUGCUGAUCAAAUGGGCUGUGCCAGCAUUUGUAGGAUAGUGUGUUGAAACCGUUUUUUGGUCAUUUUAUCAUGCAACUUGAUAUCAUAUGCCAGAGAUAGUUUCCUAUGAAAUAGAAGCAUGAACUUGUAAUAUUGUAGUAUGCAUAGCUAGGGGAAAUACUAUUAUAGGAAAUAUGUGACAGGAAAGGCAUUGAAAAUUGUGAUAAUGGGACUAAAUGAUUCAAUUUCUACUUCAACAAUGUCUUUGAAUAGCUACGGUGGGAAAGGGGGGAGAGCCGAAGGGAUUAUUGGUCUUGUGUUUCCUCUUCUAUUCCCCCAAUCUAUAUCCAUAUCAAGGGAAUGGAUCCAUCACUCUACCUUUCCACCAACUCAAUUCAAAUCAUCUCUUCCAAACACUCUGUCAAUACCUAGAUAGUCAAGAAAGAGAAAUAACUUUCAGGCUUUGCUUUAGUCUUCUCCUACAAAUUUUGUUUGCUAAUUCCUCCCUUCUUUUCGACCUUUGGUACUCCGUAUUGGAUAUAGAUAAUGGUUUUUUUAUUCUUUUACAGGAUGAUUCAGUGAAAUGGAUGGGUACUGACUACUGAGUACUGACAAAAUUGGAAAUGGAAGACUCUAAAACCUGUAACCCCCAUUUUCACUUUGUCCCAUGUAAGACGAGACAUUUGAUAGAUGUCAUAUUAACCGGAGAUUGUACGGCUUGGAAUGUGAAACCAAUCAAAUUAAAUGUAUGAGAAAAGAUAUUAAGGA